Long non-coding RNA from Oncorhynchus nerka (sockeye salmon), 2203 nucleotides. RefSeq lists it as uncharacterized. NCBI's taxonomy places the organism in Eukaryota, Metazoa, Chordata, Actinopteri, Salmoniformes, Salmonidae. The transcript is spliced from 3 exons. The record is from RefSeq and is a predicted model, not a curated record.
UCAGGAACGAUGUCAUCAGGUGGUGAAGCUUUUGUUAUUACAUUUGGUUACAAGAACCUGCAGUAUAAUGCCAGUGGCAAAAAAAUGAAAUGCUGUUUGCAAAACUUGUGGAAUUAACAUUAAAUAUGCUGGCGCAACUACAGUACAUCUAACUUCAUCCGACAUGUGAAAACUCACCGCGAAAGGUUCACUGAAUUCUGCAAAGCAAAGGUGACCAGCACAGGGACAGAGCAGCUUGUAUAGCCAGGGCCACCCCAGGCAGAAGGCUAUAACAGAGGCUAUACUGCAAGACCUGAUCAUUUCCUGCAACCUGCCUAUGUCCUUAGUGGACAACCCUCACUUUAGGCAUUUCAUGUCAGUGGUAGGUGACAAAUAUUGACCAGUAAGUAGGUCCACGUUGACCAGGUGCCUGCAUGACUUAACACUGAACAAAAAGGCUACAAUCAAAAGUGCCCUAGAACAGACAGAAUCAGUGUCUGUCACUGUAGAUAUAUGGACUGACAGGACCAUGAGGGGCUUCAUGGGAGUAAUGGCCCAUUACAUGGCCAUGGAAGAGAGAAAAAAAACACCCAGACUGGACAUUUGACAUUUAAUAUGUGAUAACUCUGAAAAUAUGAAAAAGGCCUUCAUAGUUUGUUUCCCCAAAGCAAUCAAUGAUGAUGAUGUGGAUAACCCCAGUAUAUGGGAAGAAUUUGGUGAAGAGUACAAUGUUGAUGUAGAAGCUAUCCAAACCAACUGCAGGUAACAGCACUUACGGUGCUUUGCCCAUUCAUUACAACUGGUGAUUAGAGAUGGACUAAAGGAAACAAAAAUCAUAAACAGUGUGAUGUUUAAGGUAACUAAACUUUGCAGCUUACUACACACUACCUGUUCUCUGACGGAAGCAUUUGAAGCCGAGUUCGGGGCCAAUCGUAGUAUCCCUGCUGCUGUGUCUACCAGAUGGAAUUCCAUCCUCCGGCUUGUUAAAGCAGCCACCAAUCUGAAUCAACAAAGCCUCAAUACGCUACUUGAGGCCCAAGGACACAAGGAACUCUGCUUACCACAAAGGGAAUGGAGUCAGCUAUUGGAGCUAGUGGACAUUUUGGACCCUUUUGUCCAGGCCACCGACCUUACUCAGGGGGUUCUCUCAGUGCUGCCCUUCCUUGUGUACUGUCAACUAUCAUCUGCAAAGUAUACUGUGCACAAGUCAUCACCUAUUCAGUCUAGUAAAAGCACUGCAGCAGUCACUCAAAUGCCAAUUCCAGGGGGUGUUUGUGAAUGUCAGAAUGGAGCACUCGGAUGAACAGGCAACAAAACUUACUUUGGUGACAAUGUAUACAUAAAGGCUGCACUGCACUGGACCCAUCUUUCUGCCUGUUCUGGCUUGAUCAUGAUGUCCUCAUACCACAUGAAGAUCAAGCUGAAUUGAAGAAGGAGAGUCUGAUUGACCUAGCCAGAAGGCUGAGGCAUGGAAAGUCACCAUUAUGGAGAGCAGUAGUGGAGAAGAGGAACAACCACCUGCCAAAACCUCCAGACUGUUCUCUGGCCUCCUCAACAAGAUCAGCAUGAAGAAAGGAGACAAAGUCACCUGUCAAAGCAGAGAUUAUUAGCUACAUUGAAGUAUCUUCUGAUGAAAAGUAAGUUGAUUGCUUGGAUUUUUGGAGAAUCCAUGCAAAAGACUUUCCAAAACUCAAACAGGUAGCAAUGACAGUGUUGGCUGUGCCUGCCACCAGUGCCCCAGUGGAGAGUGUUUAGUCAUGGAGGCCUCAUCAUACGCCCUCAUCGUGCCAGACUCACUGCAAGAACGCUGACAAACUUGAUCUUUCUGAAAUGUAACCUAUCUGCAACAUAAAUAUUCUCUCUCUUAGGGCACAGGAUGUAAUUUGCUACUUGUUACAGGAAAUUGUAUUUAUGUUAAGUGUCCAGGUUAGUAAGUAUAUUUUAGGGAUAAAGGUCAUUAUGGUUGAUAUAUAGGACACUUUAGUAGUGCAGUUAUUGAACAGUUGUCAGUCAUUUUGGUUUACAUUCAUGCUUGUCAUUUAUCUUCCCUCACCUACAGAUUCUGUUUGUGUGACACAAAAUACCAUGCACUUUAAAAUGUUAUGUUUGCUUUUUUAAAUAUCCAGUACAAUUACUUUUAUUAAAUGUAAACUGUCUACAUUUUAAAAGGAAAUGUAUUUGGAUUGAAAUAGUGCCUGAUGUAUUUUCUUUCAUAAAAGUAUGG